CUCCGUCUCUUCUUUUCAACAGGCAUAUGUUAAUUUCUCUGAACAUUGGUUGGACAUUGCCCAUGUAACACUCCAACUCCUAUCACCUUAGCCCCAGAUGAUACCGAUGCGUCACCCAGUGUGUCGAGCAGUUGGCCAUGGUUGGGAGCCAGGGAGCAGCACGACAUGAGGGCACGACACUCAGGCAAGAACUUACUUUGCAGAGUUAGGUAAAUCUUAGGGCAAGCAGCUCGGAUUACUGAUGGCGUGGAUGGCCGCGAGGUACUUGAUCAACGGAUUAGAUGUGGAGUGGAGUCAAUGAAGGGAUGUGUAGCAGAUCAAGUGUGAAGGUUAGGGAAAUAGGUUAAGGGAAAGAUAUUGGACCGUCAACGCAAAUCGUGAUGUGGAUGGACGGUAUCAGCCAAGAAAUUGUUUACGAAGGCAAACAUUUGUAAUAGUUUCUGGUUCCCGUGGUAUCAGUAAAGGGGCACAAAAUCU
This is a non-coding RNA of Lolium perenne, 477 nucleotides long. Lineage: Eukaryota; Viridiplantae; Streptophyta; Magnoliopsida; Poales; Poaceae. The record is from RefSeq and is a predicted model, not a curated record.